RNAcentral lists this long non-coding RNA (457 nucleotides) under Oryza brachyantha (malo sina). RNAcentral's name for it is "long non-coding RNA (OBRA_LNC002292)". The record is from RNAcentral. Lineage: Eukaryota; Viridiplantae; Streptophyta; Magnoliopsida; Poales; Poaceae.
ACCAUUGUCAGUUAUGCUUCUGAUGGAUGGUCCUUUACGUAUGUUCGUGAUAUUGUGCUCCCUUCUAGUGUCAUCCUUUGACUCUCCCGUCUGUUCCCUUGUGCAAUCACGAUAGAGUGUCAUCAAUGAUAGAAAUAACACAAACAUUUCGACUAGAGUGGUUGAUGGUGAUUUGUUGUAGAUGUUUGUCGAGGUAGCCGAUCAUGUAGUGUCCUUAGUCGUAGUAGUCAUGCAUGAUAGUUGAUGUAUCCUCACAUAGCCUAACAUGAAAAAAUUCAAACGAAGCUGUAGUCAUAGAUGAAACACCUUGUGGAUGACCAACGAUGCCAUUGAAUACAUCUUCCAUAUGGUAUAGGAUGCCUUGGGUCGUCAUGUUGAUCUCAGGAGACAGUCAUGAUUGGUCAUCAAUUUUUGUUGGACUCCAUAUGUCAUGAAGGAGAUCAUCACAAUUGUGAUG